This 440-nucleotide long non-coding RNA is filed under the name Mytilus galloprovincialis (Mediterranean mussel). Lineage: Eukaryota; Metazoa; Mollusca; Bivalvia; Mytilida; Mytilidae. The record is from RNAcentral.
GUAUAAUGAUAACCAGAUGCUCCGCAGGGCGCAGCUUUAUAAGACCGCAGAGGUUGAACCCUGAACGGUUGGGGCAAGUAUGGACACAACAUUCAAGCUGGAUUCAGCUCUAAAUUUGGAUUGUGAUUAAAUAGUUGACACAGCAUAGGUUUCUGACACAGAAUGAAUGUGGUCUAAUGAACUUAAAAUUUUUGUUUUGCCUUUGAGCAAUUCACUAUGCUGUUGAAUAUUAAUCCUCUCAAAAAAAUGUUUGAAGAAAUUUUCUUUUUAUUUAUGAAAUCUGAAAUGAGAAAAAUUGACCCCCCCCCCCCCCAAUUUUUUUUUUCACAUCCCCCUUUCCCUUAUUCCAAAACUGAUCUCAAUUCAAAUUUCUAAUGGAGUUUGCAACAAUAACUACUCAUUUAAAUACAUCAUAAAAUAUUAAAAUGUAAAAAAAGUGC